AAUGGCUAGAGUGGGGAUGGUUACCCGCUGGUCUAGAUACGGUUCAAUAAUGAAACGGUAUUUUUUUACCAUUAAGUUUGUUGCUGAUCACAACAAACUCUCAACGUCCUAAACAGCACAAUAAACCGGACCCUAUCGCACCACGAGUUGCUGUCUACGAGUCGGGUUGUUUGGGAAUGCAGCCCCAAUCGGGCGGUAAAUUCCGUCCAGGGCUAAAUAUGGGCGAGAGACCGAUAGCGAACAAGUACCGCGAGGUAAAGAUGGAAAGGACUUUGAAAAGAGAUUCAAAGAGUGCUUGAAAUUGUCGGGAGGGAAGCGGAUGGGGGCCGGCGAUUCAUCCCGGUCAGAUGCAGAACGGAGCAAUCCGGUCCGCCGAUCGAUUCGGGUCGUGGACCGACACGGAUUAAGGUGGUGACCUAAGCCUGGGCUUUUGUUACGCCCGCGGAGACGUCGCUGCCUUAAUCGUGGUCUGCAGCACGCGCCUCACGGCGUGCCUCGGCAUCUGUGUGCUCAGGGCGUCGGCCUCUGGGCUCCCCAUUCGACCCGUCUUGAAACACGGACCAAGGAGUCUGACAUGUGUGCGAGUCAACAGGUGAGUAAACCCGUAUGGUGCAAGGAAUCUGAUUGGCUGGAUCCCUCACGGGUGCACAGCCGACCGACCUUGAUCUUCUGAGAAGGGUUCGAGUGUGAGCAUGCCUAUCGGGACCCGAAAGAUGGUGAACUAUGCCUGAGCGGGGGGAUGCCAGAGGAAACUCUGGUGGAGGCCCGCAACGAUACUGACGUGCAAAUCGUUCGUCUGACUUGGGUAUAGGGGCGAAAGACUAAUCGAACCAUCUAGUAGCUGGUUCCCUCCGAAGUUUCCCUCAGGAUAGCUGGAGCUCGGAAACGAGUUCUAUCGGGUAAAGCUAAUGAUUAGAGGCAUCGGGGAUGCAAUGUCCUCGACCUAUUCUCAAACUUUAAAUAGGUAGGACGGGGUGGCUGCUUUGUUGAGCCAUCCCACGGAAUCGAUAGCUCCAAGUGGGCCAUUUUUGGUAAGCAGAACUGGCGAUGCGGGAUGAACCGGAAGCCGGGUUACGGUGCCCAACUGUGCGCUAACCUAGAACUCACAAAGGGUGUUGGUCGAUUAAGACAGCAGGACGGUGGUCAUGGAAGUCGAAAUCCGCUAAGGAGUGUGUAACAAUUCACCUGCCGAAUCAACUAGCCCCGAAAAUGGAUUUCGCUGAAGCGCGAGACCUAUACCUGGCCGUCGGGGCAAGGGUCAGGCCUCGAUGAGUAGGAGGGCGCGAGCCCGGGCGGAGCGGCCGUCGGUGCACAUCUUGGUGGUAAUAGCAAAUAUUCAAAUGAGAACUUUGAAGGCCGUAGAGGGGAAAUGUUCCAUGUGAACGACACUUGCACAUGGGUUAGUCAAUCCUAAGAGUCGGGGGAAACCCAUCUGAUAGCGCUUAUGCGUGAACUUCGAAAGGGGAUCCGGUUAAAAUUCUGGAACCGGGAUGUGGCGGUUGACGGCAACGUUAGGGAGUCCGGAGACGUCGGCGGGAAUUCCGGAAAGAGUUAUAUUUUCUGUUUAACAGCCUGCCCACCCUGGAAACGGCUCAGCCGGAGGUAUGGUCCAGCGGCUGGAAGAGCACCGCAC
RNAcentral lists this non-coding RNA (1633 nucleotides) under Brassica napus (rape). Its description in RNAcentral is "Eukaryotic large subunit ribosomal RNA". It matches the Rfam family "Eukaryotic large subunit ribosomal RNA", at positions 140 to 1771 of the family's 3401-position model. The record is from Rfam by way of RNAcentral. Lineage: Eukaryota; Viridiplantae; Streptophyta; Magnoliopsida; Brassicales; Brassicaceae.